RNAcentral lists this ribosomal RNA (466 nucleotides) under uncultured bacterium. RNAcentral describes it as "bacterial SSU rRNA". It matches the Rfam family "Bacterial small subunit ribosomal RNA", at positions 28 to 507 of the family's 1533-position model. The record is from RNAcentral.
GACGAACGCUGGCGGCGCGCCUAACACAUGCAAGUCGAACGAGAGAUGAAGAGCUUGCUCUUCAGAUCGAGUGGCGAACGGGUGAGUAACGCGUGAGGAACCUGCCUCAAAGAGGGGGACAACAGUUGGAAACGACUGCUAAUACCGCAUAAGCCCACGGGUCGGUAUCGACCAGAGGGAAAAGGAGCAAUCCGCUUUGAGAUGGCCUCGCGUCCGAUUAGCUAGUUGGUGAGGUAAUGGCCCACCAAGGCGACGAUCGGUAGCCGGACUGAGAGGUUGAACGGCCACAUUGGGACUGAGACACGGCCCAGACUCCUACGGGAGGCAGCAGUGGGGAAUAUUGCACAAUGGGGGAAACCCUGAUGCAGCGACGCCGCGUGGAGGAAGAAGGUCUUCGGAUUGUAAACUCCUGUUGUUGAGGAAGAUAAUGACGGUACUCAACAAGGAAGUGACGGCUAACUACGUG